GACGAACGCUGGCGGCGUGCUUAACACAUGCAAGUCGAACGGAAAGGCCCUGCUUUUGUGGGGUGCUCGAGUGGCGAACGGGUGAUUAACACGUGAGUAACCUGCCCUUGACUUUGGGUUAACUUCAGGAAACUGGGGCUAAUACCGGAUAUGAGCUCCUGCUGCAUGGUGGGGGUUGGAAAGUUUCGGCGGUUGGGGAUGGACUCGCGGCUUAUCAGCUUGUUGGUGGGGUAGUGGCUUACCAAGGCUUUGACGGGUAGCCGGCCUGAGAGGGUGACCGGCGACAUUGGGACUGAGAUACGGCCCAGAGUCGUAGGGGGGGAAGCAGUGGGGAGUAUUGCACAAUGGGCGGAAGCCUGAUGCAGAAACGCGGCGUGCGGGAUGACGGCCUUCGGGUUGUAAACCGCUUUCGCCUGUGACGAAGCGUGAGUGACGGUAAUGGAUAAAGAAGCACCGGCUAACUACGUG
Molecule: ribosomal RNA, 468 nt
Filed under: uncultured bacterium
Lineage: Bacteria
Description: partial 16S ribosomal RNA
Rfam family: Bacterial small subunit ribosomal RNA
Source: RNAcentral